CCCACUCCAAACUAGUCGCUAAACAACCCUAGCCCUUUCCCCUCGAUCCUCACGGCCCCCUCUCCUCCUCGUUCGUCACCGCUGCUGCCUUCUACCCCCCUCCACACCGCCUUCCUUCUCUUCAUUGUCGAGCCGAGGGCCUCGCCCAGGCGGCCGCCGCCGGGCUCGGCCUCGCCGCCUCCCUCCACAACCGUGCGCACGAUCGACAAGGAUCUCCCGGCCGCCGCCACCGGCCGGGGGAGAACGGAUGGAAGAGUAGAAGAAUCGCCCUCCGACCACGUUGCUAGCGGCCGAUGAUAGAUAGCCCAAUCGAUCUACCUCGUCUCCCGUUGUUCAUCGUUCCUCCCUGCCUCCUGCUUCUCCAUCCAUCGAUUGAGCCUAGGCGGCAGGGAUCAAGAUCCGAGGCGGCACACAUCAUCCUCCCAUUUCGCUUCUGCCUACCAUCGAGCCUAGAGAUGACCGUGGCAAGGAGCAUGAGAGGGGUCAUUGGAUGAGGUGGUCCAUGUUGAGGAAGAGGGUGUCUGUCAUGCUAGUUUUCCUCUCUUUCUUGAUCAGAUUUUGUGGUCAAAACAAGGGAUCUGAUUUGAUGUUGAUUUUCCUCUUCGAGUUCUUCUCCAUGGCCUUGUUGUGGUUGCACCAUGGUCCAUGGGGAACAAUAAGAACACCUCUGCUACAACUGAAGUCUGGACCUCCACCAAGAAUGACAUCUCUAGAUGAUCAAGAUAUGGCAAAGCCCUUCAUGGGAUUCAAGUGGAAGAUGCAACAUAUGUGGUGCCUUAUGUAAGCUAAGCUGGGUUAUUAGAACUAAUUGUUCUUCAGGUAUUCCUUUAAAAAAUAUGAUUUUGACAUAACCAUGGUGGCUCUUUUGUAGUGUUUGGUUUUCUUGGAGCAACUCCAACAGGCCGACCCAAAUGGACGGCGAUUUUGUCCGCUUUUUGUCCGUUUGGGUCGGCCAGGCGAACACGAGCGUCCACUUCCGCGUUUCGGCCGGCGCGUGCGCGACCCAUUUUGACGGUGUAAAAAAACUAAAUGCAUGCAUAUUUAACAUAAAAACUAAAUUAAUUAAACAUUAAUGCCGACCACAAAGUCCGGCGGGAGUCCACGCGUCCACAUUAGCUUUUGUGCGGCUGGGGUGGCUGGGGAGGCUAGGGUUUGCUUGUCGGCGACGGGGGAGAGAGCGUGGCCUAGAUGGGGACGGGAACUGGAUGAGGACGGCCCCGCCUCAUUGUCGGCUUAAGAAGGACGACCGCCGUCACUGACGUGUGGGCCUGUGGUCAUAAAUUAAGCUGACCGCCGAGGGGGAGGGUAGUUGGGCGACCGCCUGGUAGGGCCGCGGCGGACAUCGAGAAGGCACGCGUGGCGUCUGUUCCGCGUCUGCGCCAACGCAUUUGGGGCGCAAAUUCGGGCGGCAAAUGCGUCGGCGCGGACGCAAAGCGGACGCGUUUUGGGUUUGGGUCGGUUCGUUGGGCCUCCACUUUUGUCCACGCUGACCCAAACGGAUGGCGGCGGACGAAAUGGGUCGCCCCAUUGGAGUUGCUCUAGGAAUUUUUUUCCUUUGGCUAACAGAUAUUAGACAUGUGUGAGAUUCACAUACAUUAGUUGCCCGGUAGCUUCUCAUCAGCAGUUUGGCUUUGUUUCCGUCUAUAUGCUUGUGAGCUCCAGCAACCAUUGUAUCCUGCAAAUUGUUUCUAUGCAAUGUCAAUUUCUUUAUCGCUCAUUUUUGGGAGUACUCAGCUGAUUCAUAUGACACCAUUAAUAAAGUUUUUGUUUCAGACAUCCAAUCAGUCAUUCAUUGGCACUUUACUCAUGUGAAGCCCCUAUAUUAUUUGUCAAAAUGUAUCAUUUUGAUGCAUUACCACAUUAGAAUUGGUUCAAAUCUUGGUUUAGUCCUGAAUGUAAUGUGCCUCCCUUUGUGGGUCUAGCAUUAUUCCUUCAUCCUUGACACUACUGGGAUUCAACAUUAUGCAGGUUAGCAUCACCUCAGAAUAUAACAUCAUCUAUGUUGAAGUGGUGUAUUUGUACUACUCUUUACCCACCAUGGUGAGUUGCUGCUUUGUUCCCAUCAAGGUGAGAUGUUUCUUCAUUACCUUGCUUGUAUCCUAUUGGAUAAAAUGUCUAUGAACUGAUCCAUGCUACAUUUCAUUCCCUACUCUCUUGUGCUGGAAACUUUUGGUUCUCUGUUGGUUGUUGGGUUUCUCCAUAUAUGCAUCUUGUUACAACAAGGUUGAAUGCCUUUUGUUGCCUUGCUCAUUUAGUGUUUGCGGAAAGAUCCAUGGGAUAAUGUGUUGGUGCAGAUAGACUGCCCGUAUGCAGAACCUAUCCUUAGAUUUUGUCUGGAAUAAUGUUUUCGUGCUUACAGUUCUUGUGGUGAUUUGUGCUGAAAAAUCUAUGGGCUGAUGUAUUGGUGUGGUCAGCCUGCCUGUGCAGAAUCUUUGUUUACAUUUUGUCAAAAUGUUACGUUCUUGCUUAAUUUUCUCAUGGUGGUUUGUCCCUAUAGAUAAAUCGUCUGUGUGUGUAUGAUGUAUUGUGUCUGAUGCAUGUUUAUGUAGUUGUCCGAUGUAUGUCUAUAUAUUUCUCUAUUUACUAAAACUGUAUAAUUAUAUAUGGUUAGAGCAGCAGAAUCAAAACUAAUUAUUGUCAUGCUAGAAUUGGUUCAAUGUUGUUUGCCUCCUGAGGUAUUGACAUGUUUUGCAACAUUCUAUUCAAAACAAGGUGGGGAGGGCUCCGGAUGGCAACAUCAGAGUAUAACGAUAUUGCUUUAAGCUUGCUUCUUUCUUUGCUUCGUUCACGAGUUCCAGAUGCAUGCAGUGUGCAUAGGACAAUGUUGCGGAGGGUUCAAUUUCUUAUUUUUCAGAUUUUGCAGUAACAGGCAUGUGUAUAAUAGAAUUAACUAAACUGGUGCUUACGGGUUUCGGUGCAUGACUUCUACUUGCUCGAUUAGUUAGCUGAACUAUUUGUUUAGAGAUUUUAGUGCAGAGUGAUCCUCCAGGAAAUGGCAAGAGAGUUAAAGUAUCAUAUUAGACUAUUUUUGUGGCCUGUUGCUUUCGAGGCCGGGAAUUGGAGCACUCGUAGGAAGCCAUUCGGGUUAUAGAUAUCAUAUUGAGACAACACUCUGCCAAGUGGUAUGUUUGUUUCUAUGUACUUCUGGGAGCUAAUUCACCAUCUUGAUUUUGGCUGGGAGGUGUGACAUGGUGUGGCAUAUAGAGGUAAUUUGGUGUCCUCUCUCUUUGCCUCUUGCUUCCUCCAACACUCUGGUUUUGAUUGUGUUGAUGCCGCAUACAUUUUAACUUUGUAAGUAUGUUGUUAUAAUCAUACUUAUGUCUAGCCAAAGUCUAUAGGUUGGACCUUAUAAUUUUAUAAUCAUUAGACCCAAUCUUUGUAUCUACUUUGCCUCUUGUACCUUGGUUAGCAAAAAAAUUGUGCUAAGGUGUUAGUGAUGGUUGUUCUACAUCUGAAGGCAGCUUUAUUGCCCAUAAUCUGCAUCCUCUUUUCUUUGUAAAGAAAUACUCAUUUUGCUCUACUAAACUGAAAAUUCCACUUGAAAUUAUUUAUUUUUAUGAUAUAUGGUCGUGCAGCUGUAAUGUGAUCAGAGAUCAAGUUAAAAUAUGAUGGAAAAGGGAUAAGAAAUACAGGUUGUAUGAGCAAAAACAUCUAGAACAUAUGGUUGUUUAUUAUUUAUGCUUCUAUUAUUGUAGUGAAAGAGAUCAGUUAGUAAUGUUAACAUAAUUCACUCUCUUAAGCAUGUUUCUGUUGUAAUGGUUAGUUGUCACAGUGCAUGUAUUUGAGCCCAUCAUUAGGUCUCUAUUGUUGUUCAAAUUAUUUUUUAGGAAACUAUUUGAUCUUCUGUAGGCCAUUUGUUCUCUAUUGUUUUUCUUUGGAAGUUUCUCCAUGAUGGUACUUUCCACCAGGAAACCGGAAAAAGAAUCAAGGCCGGUGACCUGCUUUUGUCCUAAUGGGCAUCCCUUCGUCGAAUGAAGCUUCAACCUGAGCAAGGGCAUGCUUGCAGAUGAUGUAUCUGUUUAACGUUUGUUAGAAGAGGCGACCGCUUGGUUGAUUUCGUUUUGCACGUUCUGUAAAAUAGACUUAGCAACAAAGCUUCGACAAUUUGUUCGAUGUCAUCUCCUUUUCAAACAAUAUAUCAUCUUCUGGUUCUUUAAUCUGUAAUGUAUAUUCUAUGACUAUCCAAACUAUUAUUUGUACACCAACUCAAAAAUUGUGAAUCAAUGAGCACAUAUUCUAAGACAA
Triticum aestivum (bread wheat) is the source of this 4245-nucleotide long non-coding RNA. RefSeq lists it as uncharacterized. The transcript is spliced from 2 exons. NCBI's taxonomy places the organism in Eukaryota, Viridiplantae, Streptophyta, Magnoliopsida, Poales, Poaceae. The record is from RefSeq and is a predicted model, not a curated record.